UCUGAUUGUAUUUCCUCUUCCUCACUGAUAACAACAAAGUUCAAGUAAGAGAGAAGCAGAGAGAAUUAAAGUGGUGAUUAUGGGUUCUGAAACUUUUAUUGAAGUGAUAUUAGCAAUCCUUUUACCUCCAGUUGGUGUUUUCCUCCGUUAUGGCUGUGGUAUUGAAUUUUGGAUAGAUCUGCUGCUGACUCUGCUCGGAUACAUUCCUGGGAUCAUAUAUGCCAUAUAUGUACUGGUUGCAUGAUAUGAAUAUUAUUUCUCUUUUAUUCAUAAUAUAGCUUUUAUUAUGUGUUUCUACACUUAUUUUUCGUUUCCAACAUCGAUGAGGUAGAUACAUAAGUAAUUCGGAACAUUAGUAUAAUUUACUUUCAUUAUAGUUUAGGAUUUGAAAUUGUCGGAACGUAUUUAGUUUACUAUUCCACUGGC
This 426-nucleotide small RNA is filed under the name Vigna angularis var. angularis. RNAcentral describes it as "Non-protein coding transcript". The record is from RNAcentral. Lineage: Eukaryota; Viridiplantae; Streptophyta; Magnoliopsida; Fabales; Fabaceae.